This is a small nucleolar RNA of Acanthochromis polyacanthus (spiny chromis), 138 nucleotides long. The record is from Ensembl. NCBI's taxonomy places the organism in Eukaryota, Metazoa, Chordata, Actinopteri, Pomacentridae.
AAUCCCAUUUCAGUACCUUCCACUCGCAUGACAAUGAAUGGACGGCUAUGCUAAUGGGAUAGAAGAACACUGUCAUGGUCUGAAGGUGUGGCUAGCUGACUGUGCGCCCCGCUCAAUAAAAUGACAGAAUAUAUCUAU